Molecule: long non-coding RNA, 346 nt
Organism: Tupaia belangeri chinensis (Chinese tree shrew)
Lineage: Eukaryota; Metazoa; Chordata; Mammalia; Scandentia; Tupaiidae
Exons: 3
Source: RefSeq, a predicted model, not a curated record
GCUGAAGUUGUGUGGAUGGUAUAAAGUAUGUGGGCCCUGAAACCCAAUCAUGUUAUAACCAUGCCACAUGGCAUGCCACUCUGGGGACCAAGCUUACUCAAGCCACCCCUGCUUUUAUACCCACUGCAGAAGACAAGCCUGAUUACUGGAAGAGCAGGAUAAAAGAAAACCUACUUUUCACCCCAACACUUUGACAGUGGCGUUGCCCAUUUCUUUUAAGGAAGUGGAGGAGCAGAUGCUGGAACGCUGUGACCUACAGAGUGUGCGCCUGCCAGCCCUGGCAGAUUCCCCCCCAGAUGACAUGAUUACUCACUAACAGCAAGUGCUGGCACGUGACAGUGUAAGG